GAAUGUGGUCCUAUGGAGCCCCACCCAUAGAUUCCUACAUUUCUUUGGAUAUAAUUUUUUUUUAAAUCACUGCUAUAGUUUUUUAAACAUGGAAUGGAUAAUCCUCACAAACGACACAUAGCUAGUAUUUUAUAUUCGCUUGAUUUUGACUAAAAUUAGGUUUUUGUAAAUCGGAUGACGUCAUGCGUGAUAAAUUGCUUUACGGCACCUUGUGUCUCUCCUUCCCUUUCCUUUCCCUCGCAGCAACAGCUGCAUACGAUCGCAGCUGAUUUGGCUCCGUGGGACUGAUUUGAACUCGGCUCUACAUGUUUUGAAAAGGUUGCGGUGGAAUUGUCAGUUUAUCUGAGGAAGGUUCCUAACGGAGUGGAAUGACCCGGAAGUACCUCAGUGGCAGCCAUGGAAACACUGGACCUUCCUUUACGAAAGGAAAGGAGAAGUUGCUGUCUAUCAAUGCCUUGCAGACGCAACUUUUACCAUUAUACAACAUUCGGCCGUUCACAGAAACAACCAAUCGUGAUGAAAGACGCGUAUCAUGAAAGUCACGGGGCUUAUUAAGCAGUUUAAAAUUAUACCGUAACUUACUUUAGUGCUUUGCUUUGAACGUUCAGCUCUAUAUUAAUCAAAAGGAGAAAUAUGAACGUUAC
Long non-coding RNA from Eleginops maclovinus (Patagonian blennie), 644 nucleotides. RefSeq lists it as uncharacterized. NCBI's taxonomy places the organism in Eukaryota, Metazoa, Chordata, Actinopteri, Perciformes, Eleginopidae. The record is from RefSeq and is a predicted model, not a curated record. The transcript has 3 exons.